This 378-nucleotide ribosomal RNA is filed under the name Triticum aestivum (bread wheat). RNAcentral describes it as "partial small subunit ribosomal RNA". The record is from RNAcentral. Lineage: Eukaryota; Viridiplantae; Streptophyta; Magnoliopsida; Poales; Poaceae.
AUGGUGGUUGGGGCAGGUGUUGGUGGCCCUGACAGACGCAGGUUGGGGCCUGAGCAGGCGGCCUUGACGACGGAGGUUGGAGUAGAAGGAGCAGCUAGUUCACGGUCACGGCUGGAGGUGGUUGAUGGUUGCGUCUCCUCGGUGUGGGUGUCGGUGUUCUGCAACGAUUUGGUCGCAACGACGAGGUGCUGCGACGGCGGCGGUGCAUCCCUUCAUGAAGUGCUUGGCCGUAUUCCUUUGGCUUGGGCGGGAGGUCGUGAUAGUAUGGAUGAAAAUCCAACACAGCCUUGGCUGGUGCUUGCGACGACGGCGCCUGUGGGUGUCGUUUCCCUCCGUGGAGGCAUCGCGGUGGUGUGCCGGCAUCUUCCCCCGCGCUAG